GCCAGACUCCUACGGGAGGCAGCAGUGGGGGAUAUUGCACAAUGGGGGGAACCCUGAUGCAGCGACGCCGCGUGGGUGAAGGAGCGUUUCGGCGCGUAAAGCCCUAUCGGCAGGGAAGAAGGAGGACGGUACCUGACUAAGAAGCCCCGGCUAACUACGUGCCAGCAGCCGCGGUAAUACGUAGGGGGCAAGCGUUAUCCGGAUUUACUGGGUGUAAAGGGGGCGCAGACGGCAGCGCAAGCCAGGAGUGAAAGCCCGGGGCCCAACCCCGGGACUGCUCUUGGAACUGCGCGGCUGGAGUGCAGGAGGGGCAGGCGGAAUUCCUGGUGUAGCGGUGAAAUGCGUAGAUAUCAGGAGGAACACCGGUGGCGAAGGCGGCCUGCUGGACUGCGACUGACGUUGAGGCCCGAAAGCGUGGGGAGCAAACAGGAUUAGAUACCCCUGUAUUU
RNAcentral lists this ribosomal RNA (449 nucleotides) under uncultured bacterium. RNAcentral's name for it is "partial 16S ribosomal RNA". It matches the Rfam family "Bacterial small subunit ribosomal RNA", at positions 330 to 795 of the family's 1533-position model. The record is from RNAcentral.